This 254-nucleotide ribosomal RNA is filed under the name uncultured bacterium. Its description in RNAcentral is "partial 16S ribosomal RNA". It matches the Rfam family "Bacterial small subunit ribosomal RNA", at positions 524 to 776 of the family's 1533-position model. The record is from RNAcentral.
CACGUAGGGUGCGAGCGUUGUCCGGAAUUAUUGGGCGUAAAGAGCUCGUAGGCGGUGUGUCGCGUCGGCCGUGAAAACCUGCAGCUUAACUGUGGGCUUGCGGUCGAUACGGGCAUCACUGGAGUUCGGCAGGGGAGACUGGAAUUCCUGGUGUAGCGGUGAAAUGCGUAGAUAUCCGGAGGAACACCGGUGGCGAAGGCGGCUUCCUGGACCGAUACUGACGCUGAGGAGCGAAAGCCAGGGGAGCAAACGGG